CCGGCGCACGGGUGAGUAACACGUAUGCAACCUGGCCGUCACAGGUGGAUAACCGGAAGAAAUUCCGACUAAUACAGCAUAACACUCCUGAGGGACAUCCCUUGGGAGUCAAAGGAGGCAACUCCGGUGACGGAUGGGCAUGCGGCGCAUUAGGUAGUUGGUAGGGUAACGGCCUACCAAGCCGACGAUCGGUAGCCGGACUGAGAGGUUGAACGGCCACAUUGGGACUGAGACACGGCCCAGACUCCUACGGAAGGCAGCAG
Molecule: ribosomal RNA, 263 nt
Filed under: uncultured bacterium
Lineage: Bacteria
Description: partial 16S ribosomal RNA
Rfam family: Bacterial small subunit ribosomal RNA
Source: RNAcentral